CGGAAAUCAUGUGUAUGUUCAAAGGCUAACUUGAAGAGAAAUAGCAACGUCCGACUUUGUAACUGUCAGGAUUAGGCCCGGCUUCUUAUAAAGAACAUUUUCCACCACGCCAGCAACAGCAGGACGGAUGUUGAUCUUUGUCAUCUUCAUCAUCUCAUUAACAUCUGACACCCCGGGUGCAGUGGGGACCAAUAAGCGGCGGAUGCGGCUGGCGCCCGGCUGCGGGCGGCCCUCUCAAUGGUCUCUCCCACUAUGAAAGCGUUGGUGGAUGCCGCCUGGUUGGUGUGGAGCGUCGGGGCCUCCGUCUAUGACUACAUCCACACCAACGCCAUGGAGGAGCGCAUUAACACCCUGGAGGAUGUCAUCACAGUCCACCAGUGUGCCAUCGGGCUUCUGUCCGCCGGCAUUUUGGUGCUCUUCACCUACAUCCUCCUCAAGAAGCUCUGAGGAGGGUGUGAAGCAAACACUGACCACACAGACGCUACAUCUUCCUAAUACAUCUAAAUCUUUCUCAGGUUUGAUACAAAGAAAUAGUUGGCAUAGAAAAAUGAUUUUAGAAGCAGUAAACUGGUCAAUGUGUGUUAUUUUAAUAGAUACUAGUUAAGUAAAACGCCUUAUACUUAAAGCUUUUAGUAUGCGUCAUGGUACUUCACCUAUUUGCUAAAGGGAUCAUUAUUUUUUGUAACAAAUCUCUAAAUGUUUUCAUCCGAUCCGUCCAUGUGAACGGUACAUGUCAGGAACGCCUUGAUCCAAAGUCUUCAAUCUGCCACAAAGGUCCACGUGGACUCAAGGUUGAACCGACUAGUUUGGUGAGUAAGAGUCCAGCUUACCGUGACCUGAAAUGAAUUCCAUGUUUUAAGUAUGCUAAUUGUCAGUUCCACCCAAAUGAUAUCUGACAUAUGGCUGUAAACUGUUGUCUUAUGAAAGAAAUCACAUCUUAAAAUGCCUUGAUAGAACUGUAUGGGUGCAUUAUUUGUAUUAGAGUCCAUUAUCUAUUUAUAUAAACCUUUUACCUCGUAGUUGAUAGAUUCCACUGUUGGCACACAAAACAAAUUGAGGUUUUUGGUGUUAACUAUUGAAAUGUCUAACCAGUGCUGCUUGAUAUUUAUGGAUAUGUUCUUUUUAAGGCUGUAUUUCUUACCAUGAAAGUGAAUCUUAAUCAUUUUAACUUAACUAACCUGCAAAGAGAAAAGUUGUGUUUUAUUGACUACUAAUGUUGUGUAUCCCGAGUUUUCUGUGUGCAUUUACUUCCAUCGUCUCAGAUGGACCAAAACAGAGAAACACCAAGAAUAAAACGGUUUUAAUAUAU
This is a long non-coding RNA of Gasterosteus aculeatus aculeatus (three-spined stickleback), 1309 nucleotides long. RefSeq lists it as uncharacterized. The record is from RefSeq and is a predicted model, not a curated record. NCBI's taxonomy places the organism in Eukaryota, Metazoa, Chordata, Actinopteri, Perciformes, Gasterosteidae.